CAGGUGGGCAGGCGUGCGUAUGGGUGAGUCAGGUGGACAGGUGUGCGUAUGGGUGAGUCAGGUGGACAGGCGUGCGUAUGGCUGUGCGUUUGGGCGAGUCAGGUGGGCAGACGUGCGUAUGGGCAGUCAGGUGGACAGGCGUGUGUAUGGGUGAGUCAGGUGGACCACUGUGUGUACGGGCGAGUCAGGUGGACCGGCGUGCAUAUGGGCAGGUCAGGUGGGUAGGCGUGUGUAUGGAUGUGCAUAUGGGCGGGUCAGGUGGACAGGUGUGUAUAUGGGUGUACAUGUGUGCACAGGUGCUACUUUACUCUGUGUUCAACACGUGUUCGUGGACGUGCUCCAGGCCCAAGGCGAAGGAAUAGGAUGUAGCAGGGGCAGGGUCUCCGCCCCAUACUCAGAGUCCUUGGGCUCCGGGAAGACACAACCGAUAAGUGGUUACGGGGAUGCCUGGGAGCUACGGGCACACACAGACCCUCCUGGGCCCAGCAUAAGGGCCAGGGAAGACUUCCUGGAGUCCAAGUGGAAGCUGCAGGUUCUGUUCCCAGGCUGCUGUUGGGCAGUGAACAAACGGCACUGGAUUCAGAGUCGGACAAACCUGGGUUCAAGUCCAAUCUGCCUCUCAAGCUGUGUAGCCUUUAGCAAGUCACUUCUUCCCCUUGGGCCUCAGUUUCCUCAUUUGCCAUCUCACCCUUCACAGCACUGAUGUUUGGAUUAAUGCGAUGAGGCAGGUGAAAGCACUGUAAAUGCCACCCAGGCACGGAGCUUUCAUGGGACAGUUGAAACGCAGGUGAAAUGAAAGUCAGUGUCCUGUUGUCCUCCGACUUUACAUUAUUAAAGAGAAUUGGGCUGGAUGCAGUGGCUCACAGCUAUAAUCCUAGCACUUUGGGAGGCCGAGGUGGGCAGAUCACUUGAGGUCAGGAGUUCGAGACCAGUCUGGCCAAUGUGGUGAAACCCUGUCUCUACUACAAAUAAAAAAUUAGUCG
Molecule: long non-coding RNA, 983 nt
Filed under: Homo sapiens (human)
Lineage: Eukaryota; Metazoa; Chordata; Mammalia; Primates; Hominidae
Description: PREDICTED lncRNA (TCONS_00146341)
Source: RNAcentral